UGUAAAUGACAUAAAUUUGAUAGUCUAAUAAUUUACAUAACAAUUGUGCUAUCAAGACACUAUGUUAGUUAAAUAAAAUAAUAAUAAUCAUACUAAUAAAGUAGUAUUAGAAACAAUAAGUUUGAUACAAAUUAGAAAAAUAUUGAAUUUAAAGUAAAUUCUUGAUAAUUUUACUUUAUAAGGGUAAAAUAAUAGUCAAUUUAAACUUAUGUCAAAACAAUCUUCAUAAUCAAAUAUACUAAAUGAAUAUAAGUCACAAAAAAGUAAAUUAACAUAGAUUUAAUUAAUUAAUUCUUCAAACCUCUUCUUGAUUUAAAAAUUUUAAAAAUAAUGUGUAACUUUUAUAAUUAUUUUUUAAAAAUGGAGUGAAUUCACAAAAAAUAUCGGGUACAGAUAUCAUCCGUCUAUAAAAAAUAAUCAUAACAAUUAUUUUUUGGGAUCAGGCUACGGUGCAACUGUGGUACUGUGCCACAAUUGUAUCCAGCCGUUGGAUGCACUUGGAUUGGUGAGGUCUACUGAUAUUCAACAGCUGGAUGCAACUAUAGCACAAUACCACAAUUACACCACAAGUUUCCCUAUUUUUUUUCAGUAUUUUAUCUCCUUAUCAUUUUUACGCUCUUUGCGGUCAAGUUUCACCGAUUGCCAUUGCCUCACUAUUUUGAUGAUAAUGACACAAGACCUCUUCAAGUCUUCAUAUACAUGUGGGUAGUUUGAAUAGAUGUAAGAUGUCUUUUUUUUCAGGACGUAAAUUUUGACAUGUGGCAGAUGCAUGAAUGAAAGAACAAUAUGGCUCUUUCAUACCCUUUUUCUGUUUGGUGGGCUCUCUCCUUUAGAUAUUGCUAAGCUGCUUAGCUUCUCCUUCGUGAUGCUAAUGGUUUCUGAUUUAUCACUUUCACUGGUUUAUUUGCUCUCUAUAGCUUUUCAAUCAACAAUUCUUACCUCAGAGCUUGCAGCUUUCUUUAUAUUUGAUGGGGUAAGGCGACCGUCAGCUGUGGCUGACACAUUGCACAUCCGUAGUUUUUAUUCCUCCGAUAGAUGCUAAACAAUAAUCAAUUUAUGCAGGACCUACGUACAAAGCGUCAGGUUUAUAGUUUCAUUCCCUUGUAUUUACAUUUCUUAAAGAAAUUAGUCUGAACCGAUUUGCUCUAUAAUUGUGUUGUAAGUAAGAUGACCCAAUGAUCAGUCAUAUUAAUUAAUACUAGUUACGAUACUUCAACUCCGCUCAUUGGUCGGAUAAAAAACAGCAAAAGAAAGAAACAGGACAAUGAGCAAUCAUAUUAAUUAGGGAAAGAAAUUAAAGCUCAAUUGUUGCCAAGUACUUCUUGUAGUUGAAUAUUUACCCUAUCAACACAUCUUCUCGUAGUUGUAAAGUUCUCUGGAAUUAUUUAUCAAUCUUCCAGGAAACCAGAUUAUUUACUGCAUAGAUAUAUAUAUAUAUAUAUAUGUUGCUUAAAGUCAAGUGAUGAAACGAAAACGUGAAGGUUGAAGAUUUUUGAAACAAAGUUUCAAAGUAAUAAAGUUUACUGAAUAAUUAUGAAUUGACAAAGUUAGGGUUUUGAUCCUUUUAUAUAAU
Molecule: long non-coding RNA, 1573 nt
Filed under: Citrus x clementina
Lineage: Eukaryota; Viridiplantae; Streptophyta; Magnoliopsida; Sapindales; Rutaceae
Description: Citrus clementina (C. clementina) long non-coding RNA (CCLE_LNC005281)
Source: RNAcentral